UGACUCAGCAGAGCUCAGAACCUACUCUCCGC
Molecule: non-coding RNA, 32 nt
Filed under: Homo sapiens (human)
Lineage: Eukaryota; Metazoa; Chordata; Mammalia; Primates; Hominidae
Source: RNAcentral